AUGCAAGGAGAGGUGUGUUUCGCACUCCUGGUGGUUUGCCUGCUACACGUUACAUUUAUUCCCGAUGUCGAAACGGCAGUUUCGGAACAAAUGAUCAAGCAGAUGAAAGAUAUGCACAAGAAGACGUGCAUGGCACGCUCUGGUGUGAAGAAAGAGGGUCUUGCGAAAUUCAUGGAGGAAGGAGUGAAUGACGAUCCGGCCUUUAAAAAAUACACUUUGUGUAUGUUGAAAAAUAUGCAAGGGUUUAAAAACGGAAAAAUAGCGAUCAAGGAUAUAGAAAACCAGGCGAAGGCAAUGCUUCCACCGCCGUUACGAGACGCCAUUUUAGAUGCCACCUCUAAGUGUAGCAAUACAGGUGGAGAUACACCAGAGGACAUUACGUACAAUUUCAGCAAGUGCAGUCACAAAGCUAAUGUCAAGAGUGUCAUGAUAAUCUGAGACUUCAUGCGGUACCAGACCGAAGGCAACUUAACUCACGCAUCGGCAACUGCUUAAGUUGGAGUUGCCUGGCUUUCAAAAUUUCUCGACUGAAAAAUGCAUUAGAAAAGAAGCAUUCCUUUAGUAAUUGUAUUGUAAAUGUGUAAUUAAAAAAUAAAUGAUUGUUUUCUUACUUUUCUGAAUUGGUAUUAUUUCUACUGAUAAGUUUGGAUGAUUUCAUCAGAAGCAUACCCGCGCGUUGGUGAAAAAGUUUAAAAAUCACAAGUAAAACCCAUUUUCUUAGAAAUCUCAAGCAAAUCAAAUUGACUCAUUAUAACAUUGAACUAUUAGCAUAACUGCAGGAAGAAGUUUUCAACGGAUAUUUUGGCACUGAAAAAAUUCUCGGAGGCCAAACAGGAGUUAUGGUGGAUUGAAUUUUGUGGUCCAAAAAUCAUGUUCGUAGGUCUAGGAUUGCCUGACAAUCUACUUUACAGGGAGU
Molecule: long non-coding RNA, 916 nt
Filed under: Bemisia tabaci
Lineage: Eukaryota; Metazoa; Arthropoda; Insecta; Hemiptera; Aleyrodidae
Description: lncRNA ENSSSA1UGG004681
Source: RNAcentral